RNA transcript from Zingiber officinale, 4174 nucleotides. RefSeq lists it as uncharacterized. The record is from RefSeq and is a predicted model, not a curated record. Lineage: Eukaryota; Viridiplantae; Streptophyta; Magnoliopsida; Zingiberales; Zingiberaceae. The transcript is spliced from 3 exons.
GGUUUGAGCUAGGGUUUUGAAAUGUUCAGUCGUACCCUAACCAGCUAACUUCUACUGCCUUUGACGACGAUGCUCCACUCGACCAUCCGCCGCCAUGCUCUUCUUACCUUGCCCCAAUUCCACCGCAUUUUCUUCGCCACCUCCACUUCCUCCCCCCUGUCAGGCGGCAGCACCUCUUCUCGUGAUUCUCACUUCAUGGUCGAGUACCUCGUGAACUCGUGCGGAUUCUCCGUGGAGGAGGCGUCGAAGGCCUCCAAGCGCCUCGCGCAUCUCCGAUCGACCGAGAAUCCCGACGCUGUUCUUUCCUUCUUCAGAUCUCAAGGCAUUGAUGGUGCUAAUCUCAGGAAGAUAAUAUCCAUCAGACCGUCAUUCCUCUGCUGGAAUGUGGAAUCAAACCUCACCCCGAAGUUUCAAUUUUUACGUGACCUGGGGUUUUCAGAAUCCGACCUCGUUGCUUUCAUCAUGAAAAACCCCUCUAUCAUGACCCUCAACGUCCAGCGUAUUCUUCUCCCCAGAUUGAAUAUAUGGGAAAAUCUCUUUGGAUCAAGGGAGCUGCUGCUCAAGAAUCUUAGGAAGCGGUGUUGGUUUGUGAACAGCAAGUGUGAGAAGGUGGUACGUCCUAACCUGAACUUCUUACGGGAUGAGUGUGAUAUUCCUCUCGAAAGGGCAUCACUUGUCCUCAAAAAACAUCCAACUUUCAUUGUACAAAACCCAAACUCAUUACGGGCUUUGGUAGAUAGAGCGGAGGGAAUGGGAUUUACUAGGAGAUCUCGAAUUUUCCUCUGGAUCCUUGACAUUCUGUUUAGGACCAGCAGGGAAAAAGUUGACGCUCACUCCAAGCUCAUGAGCAGCUUUGGGUGGUCGAACUUGGAGUUCUGUACUGCGAUCGAAAAACAACCAGGCUUCUUAAAUCUUUCCACAGAUAUCUUACGGUUAAAGAUGGAAUUUUUGAUCAAGGACAUUGGGUUCACCCCAUCAGGCAUUGCUAAACGGUCGAGGCUUUUAAUAUUCAGUUUGAAAAAGAGGACGAUUCCUAGGUUUCAGGUCAUGAAGAUAUUAAAAUCAGAAGGGUUGUGGACUUCAAACGACAAGCAACAUAUGUUUUUCACAAUGCCAGACCCAAAAUUUCUGGAGAAGUAUAUUCUUCCUUACAAAGAUAAAUUCCCUAAACUUCUUGAGAUCUCGUGUGCUGUAGCUGAAUGAUGGUUGGAUAAUUGAAACUGCAAAAGCGAACAAGGAUGUUGAACUAAUCUUGUAGUUUUUUUGUAGAAGGGAUUAUCUUAGAAAAUGGAGGAUUGGGCUCUGUGCAAAUUAUUCCAGCAAUUGAAGGUGCAGUAAAUAGUCAUGUUCUUGAUUGAUGAAAGUUGAAUUUUGUAUUCCCCAGAGCUUGGUGUGUGAUCAUUUCCCAAGAUGCCUGAGGCACCGUUUUAUGUACAUGUGGGGCAUGAAAUUUUUCACAAGCUUUUCUCAUUGAUAACAAGCUUUAUGGAAGGCGUUUCUUGUUCUUAGAAGGCAUCAAAAGGGUCGUGGACCGAUUAGAUCAAACCACAUUUGGGCUCAAAUCUAGGGCUAAAUAAGUCGAUCAAGUCUUGGAGCGAUUGAGAUCGUUCAUUGAAGAUAGGAGAGAUCUGAGCCAUCCAUCAAGGAUCUGGUCCAUCCAACCUAAUGAGGAGCAAAUUUUGUCCGUUGAUGAAGAUCCAGAUCCAAGACGUUCUAGCCAUUGAUCAAAACCUGAAUUAAUCUGGACCGUUGAUCAGAUUGGGAGAGGUUUAAAAUCGGAGAAGCUACAAUGGCUUCGACGAGCUCGGCGUUUUCGUGAUUUCGGCACUGUUCCUUCUCCUUCUUCAACGACGCCGAAGCCUCCCAUUCUACUUCCAGAUCUAAAAACCUAAUCUCUUCAUCUCCGGUGAGAUUACAAUGAUCCCACGACCAGCAAUCCAAGGGCAGAGCGCGAAUUGAGGGCAUUCCCUGUUUGUGGUCUUGAUUCCAGCGAGCGCAUCCAAGCCAAGAUUUGAGGGUGUUCCCCGAUCUUGUGCUGCCAUCAUCCAACGGAGGUGUCAGAGAGCAUUCCCCAGCAUUUCCGAUUUCACUCAAUCAUCGAUUUCACCUUGCGAUUCUAGAAUAUCCUCUAUUUCUCGGCGGCUGGUGAAUUCAGAGGGUUCUGAGCCAGUUAGGGCAUUCCCAGUAGUUUUUGACUUUUCCUGAAUGAGCUGCGAGUUCAGAUUUUCAUUGCUGAGUGCUCGAAGAGCGUUUCCAGAAGCAAUUCAGUGACACGGCAGAGAGGAGAGGUUCAGUUGCAGAUUUUGGAUUGUGGAGUGUUAUUAGUUAGUUUUUUUUAUCUGUCAUUCCUUUGCUCAGAUAUGAAGAUCUGAUAGAUAGAUUGCACUUUAUUCUUUGUUUUGCAUUGCCUACUUCAGUUUUUGAUUGAGUUUCUUAUGCAAUUCCAUUUUUGAUGUUCUCACUUGCAAUUCUGAUUUUGUUGAAUUUCUGCAAUCCAAUCCUUUUUACAACUACUUAAUUAGUUUGUAAUUUAGAUUCUGAUUUGAAUUAGAAGUUAUGAUUAACACAAGUUUGUUUAGUUUUGGUUAUUUAGUUAGUUAAUUUUUGUUCUCUGCAUUGGAUUUAUGGUAACUGACAUGGAGUUUCAACGUUGAAUGCUUACUUGAGCUUUCGAUUGUUACCUAAAUUGUAUGUUAAUGAUCAAGUGUGAGAUUGGAUAAUUUGUUAGUUAAAGAACUUGAGUCAAUGAUGAUAGAGUGAUGCUAAUUUGAUGAGGUGGAGUUGAAUCAUGUUUAGAUGAUGAUGACUUUUCUUCGAUUCAAUUCUUGAAUUAAUUAGAUGAAAACAAGUUGUAAAGUGAAUUAAAUGGAAAAGCUUAAUUGACCUUGUUGAUGUAAUAAUUCGAUUUGAAUCAAUUCUAGAAUUAACACACACUUUUUACUAGUUAUCCUUGGAAAAAUACGACUUGAGACUCGUUGCUACAACACUUUUCUUUAGUUUAGUUGAGUUUCCAAUCUUUAUUAAUUUGGAGCGUCUAGUGACAUGCAAAACGGCGAUUAUCAAAUUUUAGUGCCGUUACUGGGGACUACAUAACUAGUAGUAUGUGUGUAUUUUAGAUUGUGCAUUGAUUGAUUUAUUUUGUUAGCAUCUUUAUUGAUUUGAUUACUUAUCUUUUGUGUUUUCAUGUUGAAUUAUUUCUAAAUUGUCAAGUUCUUUAAUGUUCAUAUAUUCAUUGUGUUUGAAACUUUAUGCUCUUGAGUCUUCUAAUUUUGAGUUUAGUGUUGUAGUGUAAGAACAGGAGAUUUCAGUAGCAUGGAUCCAUAUUUUCAAAAAUUUGGAGGAGGAAUGGAGAAUCAGUAUUUUCAGCCUGAGUAUCAAUUUUACCCAAUCAUGGAUCAACAAAAUAGGUAUGAGUCAUUUUCUAAUGCUUAUAAUGCUAAUUGGGUGGAUCAUUCAUGUUUUAGGUAUGAAAGUACACAAGGACAAUUUAUUGAGCCAUAUCCAGCCUACCAGAAUUCAUAUGAGGUUCAAGAGGUUUCAACAUCUUCUAUGUCACAUUCUUUUCAACAGAACGAUUCUCAAUUUGGAAUGUCAACAUGGAAAUUCAAGGAGAUUAUGCAAUAAAUGAGAGAACAUCAAGAGUAACAAUUCUCAAGGAUACAGAAUAUACAGAAUCAGUUAGAUCAAAUUGCAGCAUCCAUCAAUCAGUUAUAAGCACAAAACUCCAAUGAGGAGAUGGAAAGUAGAGAUUCUGUCAGGCUGACCCUACUCCCAUUUCUUCGUAAAAUUUUUCUAGUAUUAUUUGUGAAGAUGAUGUAGUUAUUCAUAUUUCUGAUUCUACUAAUGUUGUUGCUUUAGAUGAUUUGAAUGAUGCAGAUACAGAUGCAGAAGAUGAUUUAAGUGUAGGGGAAUGCUUACUGGAAGCAUUACCUCAAGAAUCAUCAAGAAUAGAGGAUGUAAGUGUAGGAACUUGUGCUAUGGAGACAAGAACCCAAGAAUCACUACAUGAAGUUGUACAACCACCUGAACCAGAGCUUGUGACAUUAUUUGAUGAAAAGGAGGUAACAAUCACCACUCUAGGUACCUUUCAGCUUGACAAGGUUAGUAUUUCUUGUGAUUUAUCAGAAAAUUUCAUAAAGGUACCACUCAUUGAUUUUAUUAGAUGUGAUUCAUU